RNAcentral lists this ribosomal RNA (250 nucleotides) under uncultured bacterium. RNAcentral describes it as "partial 16S ribosomal RNA". It matches the Rfam family "Bacterial small subunit ribosomal RNA", at positions 524 to 773 of the family's 1533-position model. The record is from RNAcentral.
UACGAAUGGGGCAAGCGUUGUUCGGAAUCACUGGGCGUAAAGCGUAUGUAGGCGGUUUUCCAAGUCAGGAGUGAAAUCCCAGGGCUCAACCCUGGAACGGCUCUUGAAACUGGAUCACUAGAGUCCCGGAGAGGUUGGCGGAAUUCCGAGUGUAGAGGUGAAAUUCGCAGAUAUUCGGAGGAACACCAGUGGCGAAGGCGGCCAACUGGACGGGAACUGACGCUCAGAUACGAAAGCGUGGGGAGCAAAC